GGACUACCAGGGUAUCUAAUCCUGUUUGCUCCCCGAGCUUUCGAACCUCAGCGUCAGGAACGCCCCAGAAAGUCGCUUUCGCCACUGGUGUUCCUCCGAAUAUCUACGCAUUUCACCGCUACACUCGGAAUUCCACUUUCCUCUGACGUCCUCCAGUCUCCCAGUUAUCAGUCCAUUCCCGGGGUUGAGCCCCGGUCUUUAAGACCAAUCUUAAAAGACCGCCUACGUUCGCUUUACGCCCAAUAAUUCCGGACAACGCUCGCAUCCUACGUAUUACCGCGGCUGCUGGCAC
This 292-nucleotide ribosomal RNA is filed under the name uncultured bacterium. RNAcentral describes it as "partial 16S ribosomal RNA". The record is from RNAcentral.